Molecule: ribosomal RNA, 301 nt
Filed under: uncultured bacterium
Lineage: Bacteria
Description: partial 16S ribosomal RNA
Rfam family: Bacterial small subunit ribosomal RNA
Source: RNAcentral
CAGCCGCCGCGGUAAUACGUAGGUGGCGAGCGUUGUCCGGAAUCAUUGGGCGUAAAGGGAGCGCAGGCGGGCAUGUAAGUCUUUCUUAAAAGUUCGGGGCUCAACCCCGUGAUGGGAAAGAAACUACAUGUCUUGAGUACAGGAGAGGAAAGCGGAAUUCCCAGUGUAGCGGUGAAAUGCGUAGAUAUUGGGAGGAACACCAGUGGCGAAGGCGGCUUUCUGGACUGUAACUGACGCUGAGGCUCGAAAGCCAGGGGAGCGAACGGGAUUAGAUACCCCUGUAGUCCCUGUCUCUUAUACA